Molecule: ribosomal RNA, 859 nt
Filed under: Atelopus halihelos
Lineage: Eukaryota; Metazoa; Chordata; Amphibia; Anura; Bufonidae
Description: partial 16S ribosomal RNA
Rfam family: Bacterial large subunit ribosomal RNA
Source: RNAcentral
GUCAAAGCUUAACUGUAUAAAGCUAUAAUCUCAAGACCAUGUCUGAUUCCUCAUCUGAUAUUGAGCAAUUCUAUAUUAUUAUAGAAAAUUUUAUGUUAAAACUAAGUAACAAGAAAGUUAAACUUCUCUUACAANGCGAAGUNGUUACCUCAAAAAANGGAUUAACCAAUUNGAUAAUUNAACGNCCCCGAGUNCAAANNUACAACCNAAAAAGNAAANCCCAACCCAAUUNACGGUNAACCAANAAAAGUGCAUUUCAAGAAAGAUUUAAAGAAAAAGAAGGAACUCGGNAAAUUUUAACCUCGCCUGUUUACCAAAAACAUCGCCUCUUGACCCCAAUAAGAGGNCCCGCCUGCCCAGUGAUUAAAUUUAACGGGCGCGGUAUCCUAACCGUGCAAAAGGUAGCGUAAUCACUUGUUCUUUAAAUAAGGACUAGUAUGAACGGCACCACGAAGGUUAUACUGUCUCCUUUUUCUAAUCAGUGAAACUAAUUUCCCCGUGAAGAAGCGGGGAUAAUUUAAUAAGACGAGAAGACCCUAUGGAGCUUUAAACACAAUAACAAUAUUUUAUAAAUUUAUGAAAGCACUAUGACUAUUAGUUUUAGGUUGGGGUGACCGCGGAGAAAAACAUAACCUCCACAUUGAAUGAAUCUAAGCCCAGAGCUACAACUUAAAGCAUCAACAUAUUGACAUCAAUUGACCCAAUUAUUUUGAUCAACGAACCAAGUUACCCUAGGGAUAACAGCGCAAUCCACUUUAAGAGCCCCUAUCGACAAGUGGGUUUACGACCUCGAUGUUGGAUCAGGGUCUCCCAGUGGUGCAGCCGCUACUAAAGGUUCGUUUGUUCAACGAUUAAUAAC